GAUGAACGCUGGCGGCGUGCCUAACACAUACAAGUCGAGCGAUCUUCUUCGGAAGAGAGCGGCGGACGGGUGAGUAACGCGUGGGUAACCUGCCCUGUACACACGGAUAACAUACCGAAAGGUAUGCUAAUACGGGAUGACAUAUGAAAGUCGCAUGGCUUUUAUAUCAAAGCUCCGGCAGUACAGGAUGGACCCGCGUCUGAUUAGCUAGUUGGUAAGGUAACGGCUUACCAAGGCGACGAUCAGUAGCCGACCUGAGAGGGUGAUCGGCCACACUGGAACUGAGACACGGUCCAGACUCCUACGGGAGGCAGCAGUGGGGAAUAUUGCACAAUGGGCGAAAGCCUGAUGCAGCAACGCCGCGUGAGCGAUGAAGGCCUUCGGGUCGUAAAGCUCUGUCCUCAAGGAAGAUAAUGACGGUACUUGAGGAGGAAGCCCCGGCUAACUACGUGCCAGCAGCCGCGGUAAUACGUAGGGGGCUAGCGUUAUCCGGAAUUACUGGGCGUAAAGGGUGCGUAGGCGGUCUUUCAAGCCAGAAGUGAGAGGCUACGGCUCAACCGUAGUAAGCUUUUGGAACUGUAGGACUUGAGUGCAGGAGAGGAGAGUAGAAUUCCUAGUGUAGCGGUGAAAUGCGUAGAUAUUAGGAGGAAUACCAGUAGCGAAGGCGGCUCUCUGGACUGUAACUGACGCUGAGGCACGAAAGCGUGGGGAGCAAACAGG
RNAcentral lists this ribosomal RNA (720 nucleotides) under uncultured bacterium. RNAcentral's name for it is "bacterial SSU rRNA". It matches the Rfam family "Bacterial small subunit ribosomal RNA", at positions 28 to 776 of the family's 1533-position model. The record is from RNAcentral.